UACGUAGGUGGCAAGCGUUGUCCGGAAUUAUUGGGCGUAAAGGGCUCGUAGGCGGUUUGUCACGUCGGGAGUGAAAACUCAGGGCUUAACCCUGAGCCUGCUUCCGAUACGGGCAGACUAGAGGUAUGCAGGGGAGAAUGGAAUUCCUGGUGUAGCGGUGAAAUGCGCAGAUAUCAGGAGGAACACCGGUGGCGAAGGCGGUUCUCUGGGCAUUACCUGACGCUGAGGAGCGAAAGUGUGGGGAGCGAACAGG
Molecule: ribosomal RNA, 253 nt
Filed under: uncultured bacterium
Lineage: Bacteria
Description: partial 16S ribosomal RNA
Rfam family: Bacterial small subunit ribosomal RNA
Source: RNAcentral